Molecule: ribosomal RNA, 764 nt
Filed under: uncultured bacterium
Lineage: Bacteria
Description: bacterial SSU rRNA
Rfam family: Bacterial small subunit ribosomal RNA
Source: RNAcentral
GAGUUUGAUCCUGGCUCAGAUUGAACGCUGGCGGCAGGCUUAACACAUGCAAGUCGAGCGGAGAUGAGGUGCUUGCACCUUAUCUUAGCGGCGGACGGGUGAGUAAUGCUUAGGAAUCUGCCUAUUAGUGGGGGACAACAUUCCGAAAGGAAUGCUAAUACCGCAUACGUCCUACGGGAGAAAGCAGGGGAUCUUCGGACCUUGCGCUAAUAGAUGAGCCUAAGUCGGAUUAGCUAGUUGGUGGGGUAAAGGCCUACCAAGGCGACGAUCUGUAGCGGGUCUGAGAGGAUGAUCCGCCACACUGGGACUGAGACACGGCUCAGACUCCUACGGGAGGCAGCAGUGGGGAAUAUUGGACAAUGGGGGGAACCCUGAUCCAGCCAUGCCGCGUGUGUGAAGAAGGCCUUAUGGUUGUAAAGCACUUUAAGCGAGGAGGAGGCUACUGAGACUAAUACUCUUGGAUAGUGGACGUUACUCGCAGAAUAAGCACCGGCUAACUCUGUGCCAGCAGCCGCGGUAAUACAGAGGGUGCGAGCGUUAAUCGGAUUUACUGGGCGUAAAGCGUGCGUAGGCGGCUUUUUAAGUCGGAUGUGAAAUCCCCGAGCUUAACUUGGGAAUUGCAUUCGAUACUGGGAAGCUAGAGUAUGGGAGAGGAUGGUAGAAUUCCAGGUGUAGCGGUGAAAUGCGUAGAGAUCUGGAGGAAUACCGAUGGCGAAGGCAGCCAUCUGGCCUAAUACUGACGCUGAGGUACGAAAGCAUGGGGA